AAACGAUGAGUGCUAAGUGUUAGAGGGUUUCCGCCCUUUAGUGCUGAAGUUAACGCAUUAAGCACUCCGCCUGGGGAGUACGGCCGCAAGGCUGAAACUCAAAGGAAUUGACGGGGGCCCGCACAAGCGGUGGAGCAUGUGGUUUAAUUCGAAGCAACGCGAAGAACCUUACCAGGUCUUGACAUCCUCUGAAAACCCUAGAGAUAGGGCUUCUCCUUCGGGAGCAGAGUGACAGGUGGUGCAUGGUUGUCGUCAGCUCGUGUCGUGAGAUGUUGGGUUAAGUCCCGCAACGAGCGCAACCCUUGAUCUUAGUUGCCAUCAUUAAGUUGGGCACUCUAAGGUGACUGCCGGUGACAAACCGGAGGAAGGUGGGGAUGACGUCAAAUCAUCAUGCCCCUUAUGACCUGGGCUACACACGUGCUACAAUGGACGGUACAAAGAGCUGCAAGACCGCGAGGUGGAGCUAAUCUCAUAAAACCGUUCUCAGUUCGGAUUGUAGGCUGCAACUCGCCUACAUGAAGCUGGAAUCGCUAGUAAUCGCG
Molecule: ribosomal RNA, 542 nt
Filed under: Bacillus cereus
Lineage: Bacteria; Bacillati; Bacillota; Bacilli; Caryophanales; Bacillaceae
Description: bacterial SSU rRNA
Rfam family: Bacterial small subunit ribosomal RNA
Source: RNAcentral